This 229-nucleotide ribosomal RNA is filed under the name uncultured bacterium. Its description in RNAcentral is "partial 16S ribosomal RNA". It matches the Rfam family "Bacterial small subunit ribosomal RNA", at positions 568 to 796 of the family's 1533-position model. The record is from RNAcentral.
UGCGUAGGCGGAUUAAUAAGUCAGUGGUGAAAUCUUUCGGCUCAACCGAGAAACUGCCAUUGAUACUGUUAAUCUUGAGUUCGGUUGAGGUAGGCGGAAUGUGUAAUGUAGCGGUGAAAUGCUUAGAUAUUACACAGAACACCAAUUGCGUAGGCAGCUUACUAGACCGACACUGACGCUGAGGCACGAAAGCGUGGGGAGCGAACAGGAUUAGAUACCCUGGUAGUCA